CUCCUGCGCCCCUUUUCUCUCUCACUCCAGAAGACAUCUCGGCAGUGAAUUCAAAACUUGAAUGCAAGGGAAGCCGAAAUGUGGAGUUCCGAUUGCCGGUGGUCUGGCACUUCACAUUGAAAGAACUGUAUUCUGGCUCACAUGAAAGAAUGGCAUUAUUAUCUAGGUCAUCCGUCUUGCCGGUCCCAAGCCCAGGUAAAGGAGGAGGGAGAAGGGCUUCAAGCAAAACUUGGAAAGCUUAAAGAUCAUCUCAGACAAGUGGAGGAUGAAUUUGUUAAGUCUCUAGCAGGUAUGAAUUUGUUAAUUCUGGAUGAUGUUGAAACAGAACAACUGCUUCAAUACCAAUUAGAUGAUGCAAUGCCUUCAUCUCUUAGGAAACAUUUUGAAAUAGACUUUUGCAGCCAUGCACUGAAUGAUGUUGGUAAAUUUUGUUUUGCGAUC
Magnolia sinica is the source of this 441-nucleotide long non-coding RNA. RefSeq lists it as uncharacterized. NCBI's taxonomy places the organism in Eukaryota, Viridiplantae, Streptophyta, Magnoliopsida, Magnoliales, Magnoliaceae. The transcript is spliced from 3 exons. The record is from RefSeq and is a predicted model, not a curated record.